Leopardus geoffroyi (Geoffroy's cat) is the source of this 2299-nucleotide long non-coding RNA. RefSeq lists it as uncharacterized. The transcript is spliced from 3 exons. NCBI's taxonomy places the organism in Eukaryota, Metazoa, Chordata, Mammalia, Carnivora, Felidae. The record is from RefSeq and is a predicted model, not a curated record.
GGGUUUUUGGAAGAUCUUUGAGCCCUGAGGCCAGCCGCCUGGUGAACAAACUCUUGGAAGAUGCAGCUGUGCUGGGUGACUGAGGGAGCAGGGCUUUGAGAACCCUCGCCACGGGGAAUCUGGUGGGACAGCAUGACCUACAGUGCUGGCUUUGGCCAGGACCACUCAGGGGAAACUUCCGGCGCCCCCGGGAUGCUCUGUGCUUGCGGCCGAGGGGACAGAGCAGUAGGAGAGAUGCUUCCUGGACGUGGGCGUGUGGCUCUCAAGGUGACCAUGGGGCUGGGGGAACCCAGAGAGAGGGGCUGCUCGCCCGGCUUCAGGCCUGGGGCUGGCAGGGGUCUUUCCAGAGGGAAAAAAGCCUGUGCUGAGAUUGAAGAGGGGAGAGUGGUGUGUGGGUGGGUAGGAAAGAGCAUUUGAGGCAGACGGGCGGGGGUGGGGAGAACACAGCGGGGUCCGCCCACCCUCGGGCUCACCGUCCAGCACAGCCAGGCGCUGGGGGACUGUCUGUGUCCUGAAUCGGAGAGGGUGGGGCCCAGAGCGCUUGAGCCCCACGGUCCGCCGGGCAGGGGGUGGGGUGUAAGGACCCCCACUCUACCGACCGCAGCUGGGCGGGGGUGGGGCUGGAGUCUGGAGCAGGGAGAGGACGCGCUCUGGGUGCUGUGUUGGCCCCGAGUCUUGGCAUCAGGGGUUUGUUACCUGGGGGAGCCGGAGGGGAGGGGGUGCUGUUCAGUGCAGUCGGCUUCCUGUGAAAGUUCAGCCACCUUAGCAGGUAAUUAAGGCCCGGCUGCACUCAGCCUGGGUGAGAUCCAUAAAGCGAUGAUGUGACAGCCUUAAUUAGCGAGGCCUUUUCUUCAUAAAUACAUAUGGCACUUAAUGAGCAUCAGAAUGGAGCCUGGAUUUGCAGCCACUGCUGGCCGUGAGUCUCGCGCACAGGAGGAAGCAAGGCGACUCUCCCGGGAAGCGCGUCUCCCUUCAGCAGCCCCGCCUGUGCCUGGGAUCCUGGGCCGGACGGCUCACUGCAGACUCCUGGCCUCGGGGUCCUGAGCUCCCGAGACCCGGCGCUCUCAUCUGCCAGAAAGUGAGGCAACAAGCGAGUGGAUCGGCAGGAACCAGCUUGGCCCCUCUGGGUGCUGCCCGUGGUCAUUUCCUGCCGUCUCGCAGCGUGGGGACCUGGGGAGCAGGGUCGGUGUCACUCACGGUGGUGGGCAGUGAGCGCCGGUCUGCUGAUGUCACCGGUGUUGGGGGUGAGGAGGCACAGUCCAGGCGUGAAGGCCUUUCUGGUGGCUGGCAUCUCGGCCCGGACCCCCUUCCGGCCAGGCCCAGCACUGUCCUGCCUGAAACCCCAGCCUCUCUGUGCGGGAGGCGCCCCAUACCUACGAGGGGCCGCCCGCCUGUCUUGCCUCCAGGAUCCCGGGCGAGCCUGGUAGUCUGUCCUCACGACAUCAGCUUCGACUAAACCGUGAACUUCCGUGCCAUCAGAGGUGCAGCCUGAUGGGGACCAUGUCCGGGAGCUGCCUCAUUCAUCAGCGGGUACAGCAAGGUGGCCCAUCCGUCCCGUGGAAAGACAGACAAGGCGCUCACCUGAGCUACAGCACGGAAGAGUCUUGAAAACGUGGUGCCGACAGGAGGAAAAUCAGCUUCUGGCGACCGUGAGAUGAACUCACGGGCAGGACGUUCGCCCCCUACCUCCCCAGGAUGGACGGGACUGGGAGUCUCUGGAAUCAUCCACGCUGGAGUCGCCUCGGAACCUUCGGGAGGCCGGAAACAAGAGAUUCGAGCUGAGUGUCCGGGAAAGACAAUCCGCCAUGGAAUGUGCCGGCCAGGUGGAAGGACAGGAAGCUGCCCAGGAGCCGGCGGGCCCACUCACCCACCCAGCUCAGGUCAAGCCUAAGUCCUGCACAGGUACAUGUGAUCAGGGGAAUCUACAGCUCAGCUUGAACUCAAGCUGCAAAGGGUUCUGGGAAAUGUAGUUCUUAGCGUUGCAGCUUCCAUAGUCCAGGAAGGCGUGCUCCGACUCUGAACAGAUGGAGAGAGCCAGCGCCCCGUGGCCACACACAGCCCAUAAUCCCUGGACACUGCGCUUUCCAAAGGGUGGCAUGGGCUAUAUACCACGUUGUCCUGAUCUCCCACCCUGCCGGAGCAGGGGGGAAGUUGGCCCCUGAAACUCAGGACAGAAGGUAAGAGGUUAGGGCUGGACUGGUGUCAGCAUCUUAGCUAUUGCUCACUCCUUAGCACUGGGAGCUUCUGCGACCUAUCAAGUCUGCCAUAAACUCACGGGAUGCGGAUUUUGUCACUCGUA